UGGGUGUUGACUCAGCCUCCAUAGGAGAUAUCACAAUGAGUGAGUGAAAACAGGCUCAGGAAAUCCUCAGAGCUCCCAGGGUGUCUAGACACAGGGAUUCUAUAAUCCUGUCAGGAAAGUGGGUGGGAGAGGGAUUUGCAAAGAAAACCAUUAACAUCACUUCCCCAGGGCGAGGAACUCCAUGUGAGGCUCUGGGGGAACCUGACUAUGUGCAGUCGUUUACAGCCUGGGUCUCCUGGAGCCUAUGAAAUGAGAAGCAGUCAUUAGCACAGCAAGCGGCCCUCAUCCUUCCUUCUCAAUAAUAACACUGUCACCAGAGGAUGGAAAAUUACCCUGACGUCUCUGUAUCUCCAAAUUGCACUUCAGAGACAGACUGCGUAAGGCAAACAGACCCUGAGUGAAAACCUCCUGGCUAGACUUCCAAGCCAAGGCCUAAUAAAUAACCCUGAAAUAUACAAAGUGAUGGCAGCUUUGCUCUGUGGCUCGUGGCUUCUGCCCUGGGAAGGACCAUGAAUUUCAGCGUCUGACAGAUGGGGUCAGAAAGUGGAGUCUGCCUGGUGGGUUGAGGAUCUGCAAAUUAACCCCAUGGUGGUGGUUUCAGAACAAGUGUGCCUGCUCACGCAAAGACUAACCUCUAAGAAAGGAGCAGGCCCGGAGGUGAGGCCCCCUGGGCGUGAAAGAAUCAACCCCAGUCCACAAAGUCCGGAGAUGAGACAUCCUGCCUGGAGGAGGGAGCCCUGUGCAUCGCAGGAUCAAAGAAGCCAAACAGGAUCUUUAGUGGUGACCGAAAAUGCUCAUGAGGAGAAAGGCUGCAUGGCAUUAAGUGAACCCCAUUGAAAGGGCCCAGUGAACAGAGCCCCUGGACAUUGCCGGAAGGAAAGGAGAAAGCCCAGCAAAGCACACAACGUAUCAGGCUUUUCAUGUGUCAUUGGGUGAAAGGGAGUCACAUGGGCCAAGGAGGGGAAGCAGGUGUCAUCAGAGCAGUUCCACAGCCCUCUAGGCACAGUAACAGGCAUGCUUUCUGUCCUUCUCUCCUUUUAGAUUGUAAGCUACCCAAAGUCCAUCUCCAUGGGUUUUUUUCCUUAUGUGCAAACUACCAUAUGACAGGUGUGCCUGACAAUAACUCAGGUAUAGCUGAGAAUGAUCCUGUAGUCCAAGAAUGUUGGUUCUGAGCUCUGAACUAAGGAAUCUGGGAGCUGCCAACCCAGAGGUUUACUCCUUAUCUAUGGAGCAUAGGUGAACCCCUGGCCCAUUUCUUGGAACAGCAUGUGCGGGGAACCAAGGCCCUUUGUUUUGAGCUAGGUGGAGGUGGCCAGGUAGAGGUCGCCAGGAAGAGGUGGCCAGGUGGAGGUUGCUAAGCAAAGAUUGCUAUAUUAACUGGGUGCUUUUUAGAAACCAUAGUGGUUACCCCAUUCAUCCAGCCACUCCUGGACUCCCUGUACGUUUAAGUUGCCCAAUAAAACUUAUGUCUUGCUCGCUGUCUCUGGGUCUUUUC
Molecule: long non-coding RNA, 1495 nt
Filed under: Homo sapiens (human)
Lineage: Eukaryota; Metazoa; Chordata; Mammalia; Primates; Hominidae
Description: HSALNT0230479
Source: RNAcentral